This 75-nucleotide transfer RNA is filed under the name Acidimicrobiales bacterium. Its description in RNAcentral is "tRNA-Gln". It matches the Rfam family "tRNA". Rfam says of the family: Transfer RNA (tRNA) molecules are approximately 80 nucleotides in length. Their secondary structure includes four short double-helical elements and three loops (D, anti-codon, and T loops). The record is from RNAcentral. RNAcentral also lists the same sequence under 1 other name. Lineage: Bacteria; Bacillati; Actinomycetota; Acidimicrobiia; Acidimicrobiales.
UCGGGGGUCGUUCAAUAGGCAGGACAGCGGGUUUUGGUCCCGUCAAUGGAGGUUCGAGUCCUCCCCCCCGAGCCA